RNAcentral lists this ribosomal RNA (42 nucleotides) under Elatine minima. RNAcentral describes it as "partial 26S ribosomal RNA". The record is from RNAcentral. Lineage: Eukaryota; Viridiplantae; Streptophyta; Magnoliopsida; Malpighiales; Elatinaceae.
ACGCUCACUAUCGCGACCCCAGGUCAGGCGGGAUUACCCGCU